RNAcentral lists this ribosomal RNA (467 nucleotides) under uncultured bacterium. Its description in RNAcentral is "partial 16S ribosomal RNA". It matches the Rfam family "Bacterial small subunit ribosomal RNA", at positions 28 to 507 of the family's 1533-position model. The record is from RNAcentral.
GACGAACGCUGGCGGCGUGCUUAACACAUGCAAGUCGAACGGAAAGGCCUCUUUCGGGGGGUACUCGAGUGGCGAACGGGUGAGUAACACGUGAGUAACCUGCCCUUGACUUUGGGAUAACUUCAGGAAACUGGGGCUAAUACCGGAUAGGAGCUCCUGCUGCAUGGUGGGGGUUGGAAAGUUUCGGCGGUUGGGGAUGGACUCGCGGCUUAUCAGCUUGUUGGUGGGGUAGUGGCUUACCAAGGCUUUGACGGGUAGCCGGCCUGAGAGGGUGACCGGCGACAUUGGGACUGAGAUACGGCCCAGACUCCUACGGGAGGCAGCAGUGGGGAAUAUUGCACAAUGGGUGGAAGCCGGAUGCAGCAACGCCGUGGGCGGGAUGACGGCCUUCGGGUUGUAAACCGCUUUCGCUCAUGACGAAGCUUUGUGUGACGGUAGUGGGUAAAGAAGCACCGGCUAACUACGUG